GACAGAGGGUGCAAACGUUGUUCGGAAUUACUGGGCGUAAAGCGCGUGUAGGCUGCUUCAUAAGUCGGGUGUGAAAGCCCUGGGCUCAACCUAGGAAGUGCACUCGAAACUGCGAAGCUUGAGUCCUGGAGAGGAAGGCGGAAUUCUCGGUGUAGAGGUGAAAUUCGUAGAUAUCGAGAGGAACACCGGUGGCGAAGGCGGCCUUCUGGACAGUGACUGACGCUGAGACGCGAAAGCGUGGGGAGCAAACAGG
This 253-nucleotide ribosomal RNA is filed under the name uncultured bacterium. RNAcentral's name for it is "partial 16S ribosomal RNA". It matches the Rfam family "Bacterial small subunit ribosomal RNA", at positions 524 to 776 of the family's 1533-position model. The record is from RNAcentral.